This 623-nucleotide unclassified non-coding RNA is filed under the name Rhagoletis pomonella (apple maggot). RNAcentral describes it as "uncharacterized LOC118742348, transcript variant X2". The record is from RNAcentral. Lineage: Eukaryota; Metazoa; Arthropoda; Insecta; Diptera; Tephritidae.
UGUUGGUCUUUAUUUCUGUAUCACAUCGCGGUGAGUUUCUAUUUCUUGGUAAUUCGGUUUGUGAAAUGACUAUUAAUUACAAGCACAGCAUCAUCAACGGUGAUUGCAAGAACUAUUGCAAUCCCUGCGGUUUUCCUCUUGGUAAAUGCGUUCUGGUCGUGACCAAGGGUGGUGUCCCAAAUCGGCCGGGAAUAAGGCUAUUGUUGCAGAACAAAAUGCCGCAACCACUGCUGUGGUAAAUAUGUUCCAGCAGAACUGCCCACCGCCGUCGGUGUAAUGAUUUCGAUAGCUGAACAAACGCCAUCUCCUGGGCAUUCCCACAGCUUGCCGACACUAGCUAUUAUAUCACGUGUGAAUGCAACUGCGGCUAAAUUUGGUUAUUAACAGUGCAAUAGUACCAUGUCAUUGGCAAAAACAUGGCGCUGUCCAUCGGCAACCCAACUGAGGUUCCGUUCCCAUCCAUAAUCGAUCCAUAAGUCAUAAUCGUACGAACUAAUCAAGGCUAAUAAAAUCCAUCGUAGUCCGAUUUUUCGUGAAAUCUACGAAAAUGCUAUUAAGUUGAGUAGCUACGAACGCAGCGCUUGCUUUGAAUACACAAAUCUCACAAAUACAUUCUCAUUUUC